AUGUCUCCUCCAUCCUUCUGGCAGCCCUUCCCAGCAUCUCGUCCCCAGGAACACGACCGGGACUCGCGGGGUCGCGGAGCUGGUUUCCCCCUGCCUCCGCAGAAGCGCCUGAGAAGCCACUCAGCCUCAGCGGGGCGCUCGGCGACUUCAGCUAACCGGUCUGCCCGGCCACGGCAAGAGCGUUGGCCAUUGGAGUGUGCGGCUGCGGAGGGAGGGGAUCCCGACUCGAGUAAAUUGAGAGCUCGACGUAGUCAGUCCCGGGCAGCAGCAAGAUGCCGAGCGCGCAGUGCAGACCCGGAGCUCCGCGAACGCAGCUGCGUCCCGCCUGAGCCAGGCUGUGGUUUCCGAGGCCCUCUCCAGCUAAAGAAAACCUGCACACACAAAAAAAAGCCUGGAUCUCUCUCCUUGAACCACCCCGGCUGCCUGUGAAGGCUCGCUCCGCCUCGCCCUCUAGCGUUCAUCUGGAGAAGCGCCGCCCGGGUGUCGGGACCGUGCGCAUCAUGGGGUCCACCGUAUCCCGCUGGUCAAGGCCCUCCACAGCCCUGUCUCGGACUAUGUCAACUACGACAUCAUCGUCCGGCAUUAUAACUACACGGGAAAGCUGAAGAUCAGCGCGGACAAGGACAAUGGCAUUAAACUGAUCUCAGUGGUGUUCAUUCUCAUCUGCUGCUUUAUCAUCCUAGAGAACAUUUUUGUUUUGCUGACCAUCUGGAAAACCAAGAAGUUCCACCGACCCAUGUACUAUUUUAUCGGCAAUCUGGCCCUCUCAGACCUGUUGGCGGGAGUGGCCUACACAGCCAACCUGCUCUUGUCUGGGGCCACCACCUACAAGCUAACCCCGCCCAG
RNAcentral lists this long non-coding RNA (846 nucleotides) under Bos grunniens (domestic yak). RNAcentral's name for it is "lncRNA (ENSBGRG00000009195.1)". The record is from RNAcentral. Lineage: Eukaryota; Metazoa; Chordata; Mammalia; Artiodactyla; Bovidae.